AUUGAACGCUGGCGGCAGGCCUAACACAUGCAAGUCGAACGGUAGCACAGAGAGCUUGCUCUCGGGUGACGAGUGGCGGACGGGUGAGUAAUGUCUGGGAAACUGCCCGAUGGAGGGGGAUAACUACUGGAAACGGUAGCUAAUACCGCAUAACGUCGCAAGACCAAAGUGGGGGACCUUCGGGCCUCACACCAUCGGAUGUGCCCAGAUGGGAUUAGCUAGUAGGUGGGGUAAUGGCUCACCUAGGCGACGAUACCUAGCUGGUCUGAGAGGAUGACCAGCCACACUGGAACGGAGACACGGUCCAGACGCCGACGGGAGGCAGCAGAGGGGAAUAUUGCACAAUGGGCGCAAGCCUGAUGCAGCCAUGCCGCGUGUAUGAAGAAGGCCUUCGGGUUGUAAAGUACUUUCAGCGGGGAGGAAGGCGGUGAAGUUAAUAACUUCACCGAUUGACGUUACCCGCAGAAGAAGCACCGGCUAACUCCGUGCCAGCAGUCGCAGUAA
This 504-nucleotide ribosomal RNA is filed under the name uncultured bacterium. Its description in RNAcentral is "partial 16S ribosomal RNA". It matches the Rfam family "Bacterial small subunit ribosomal RNA", at positions 29 to 523 of the family's 1533-position model. The record is from RNAcentral.